Molecule: ribosomal RNA, 1235 nt
Filed under: Enterococcus sp. SOMBO9
Lineage: Bacteria; Bacillati; Bacillota; Bacilli; Lactobacillales; Enterococcaceae
Description: bacterial SSU rRNA
Rfam family: Bacterial small subunit ribosomal RNA
Source: RNAcentral
GCCUAUACUGCAAGUCGAACGCUUCUUUUUCCCCGGNACUUGCUCCACCGGNAAAAANAUGAGUGGCGAACGGGUGAGUAACACGUGGGUAACCUGCCCAUCAGAAGGGGAUAACACUUGGNAAACAGGUGCUAAUACCGUAUAACAAUCGAAACCGCAUGGUUUUGAUUUGAAAGGCGCUUUCGGGUGUCGCUGAUGGAUGGACCCGCGGUGCAUUAGCUAGUUGGUGAGGUAACGGCUCACCAAGGCGACGAUGCAUAGCCGACCUGAGAGGGUGAUCGGCCCAUUGGGACUGAGACACGGCCCAAACUCCUACGGGAGGCAGCAGUAGGGAAUCUUCGGCAAUGGACGAAAGUCUGACCGAGCAACGCCGCGUGAGUGAAGAAGGUUUUCGGAUCGUAAAACUCUGUUGUUAGAGAAGAACAAGGAUGAGAGUAACUGUUCAUCCCUUGACGGUAUCUAACCAGAAAGCCACGGCUAACUACGUGCCACAGCCGCGGUAAUACGUANGUGGCAAGCGUUGUCCGGAUUUAUUGGGCGUAAAGCGAGCGCAGGCGGUUUCUUAAGUCUGAUGUGAAAGCCCCCGGCUCAACCGGGGAGGGUCAUUGGAAACUGGGAGACUUGAGUGCAGAAGAGGAGAGUGGAAUUCCAUAGUGUAGCGGUGAAAUGCGUAGAUAUAUGGAGGAACACCAGUGGCGAAGGCUGGCUCUCUGGUCUGUAACUGACGCUGAGGCUCGAAAGCGUGGGGAGCAAACAGGAUUAGAUACCCUGGUAGUCCACGCCGUAAACGAUGAGUGCUAAGUGUUGNAGGGUUUCCGCCCUUCAGUGCUGCAGCUAACGCAUUAAGCACUCCGCCUGGGGAGUACGACCGCAAGGUUGAAACUCAAAGGAAUUGACGGGGGCCCGCACAAGCGGUGGAGCAUGUGGUUUAAUUCGAAGCAACGCGAAGAACCUUACCAGGUCUUGACAUCCUUUGACCACUCUAGAGAUAGAGCUUCCCCUUCGGGGGCAAAGUGACAGGUGGUGCAUGGUUGUCGUCAGCUCGUGUCGUGAGAUGUUGGGUUAAGUCCCGCAACGAGCGCAACCCUUAUUGUUAGUUGCCAUCAUUUAGUUGGGCACUCUAGCAAGACUGCCGGUGACAAACCGGAGGAAGGUGGGGAUGACGUCAAAUCAUCAUGCCCCUUAUGACCUGGGCUACACACGUGCUACAAUGGGAAGUACACGAGUCGCAAAGU